UUUUUGAAUAAGACGAACGGUCAAACAUGUAAUAAAAAAUCAACGAUGUCAAAUAUUUAGAAACAGAGUGAGUAUUAUAAUAUUAGAACAUAUGAUCAACUACCUCUUUUCAUUUAUGCUUACAAUUAAGCUAAAAUUUCAAUUCUAAAAUUUAAUUUUGAAGGUGACUUUAUGAUAUUUUUCAUCGUAGUUUAUUUUACAGUAUUUUAUUUUAAAUCGUUAAAAAUAUGUAUAUAAAAAUUUUAUUCAUAAAUUAUUUAUUGGUUCUACUAAUAAACCAUAAUUAAGGAUAAGUAUAAGCAAAAUGAUGGAGCUGGUUAGUAGUGAGUACUGAGUAGCUCAUUUAUUUUCUCAGUUUGCUUGUAGGAAUGAGGCUAGUGCAGUGUGGAGAUUUUUUUUCCAUGAUUUUGUAAAAUUGGCUGUGAGCUAAGACUGUGCUGCUAUUUCCUAAUUAAUAAAGCACUCCCCUUAAAAAAUAUAUGAAAGACUUAUAUGUCAGUGGUAAUUACCGGCUUACCGCAGACAAUACCUAGCUGCAUGAUAAUUCUCUUUGAUUUGAUGUAAGGGAUAAGUGGACCAAUCUAAAAACCUAUAUACCGGGUUAUCCAUCUAUUUAUAUUAUAAAAUAAGUGGGUUCGUGAGCCGGUUCGUUUGCAUGAUGGGCUAAUCUUCAAUAUCCUGCACAUAUAUUUCUCGAGCCAAAUUGAUGGAUGUCAGAUCUGUGAUGGCAUACACCGCAUUGAAUGGUGUACGUGGAUGGGGAGAGCUCAUCGGCUGCUAGCAAAGCAUGCAGCUGACUCGGUCCUCUUUUUUCUUCUUCAGACUGGUUGGUAGGAUUGUGAUCAGGAGGAAGAUUAGCUUAGCUAGCUUUUAAUUUCUUUCUCUCUUGCUGCAUUUAGGGCUUCGAUUGACCACUUGCCGCCCAAUCUGAUUGAACAAGUCAGCCAUCUCUGGCGCAAGGAACGCAUGCGCCUACACAUUUUCUUUUAUUAUAAUCCAAAUUUAAAUUUUUAAAAUUAAUUUAAUUUUAUAGUUUAUUAGGUUCUUUUUAUCUUAAUCUAUUUUCUAGCUUUGGCUCUCAAUAGCUAGUAAUGCAAAUAUAAAGGUUUUAUUCAUAAAUUAUUUUUGGUUGCUUCGUUUUUUUCUUAUCAGUCGUAGUCCAACACCCUUGAGUGUUUAGUAUUCCCUUCGCUCCAAAAUAUGAGGGGUUCUAAUGCGCGCACGCUGACAGAUUAAGUUGUGUGCCCCUUUCUCUCACCUUAUCCAUUCUAUUCCCUUCUCUCUCUCACCUUAUCCAUUUCUUCCCCUCCCUUCCUCUCCCCUCCCCUCCUCUCAUUCUUUCUCUACGCCAACAGUGAGCGACGAGUCUCCAGCGAUUGUGACGGACCUCCAGUGAGCCCUCUCCUUUUCCCUCCCGCGAACUGCUCUAACGGAGAAGAGGACACGCAGUCGAGCAAUGACAGCGGCGACGGCAAGCGGAGCAGGUUAGGGCGACAGACAAAGCCCUUUGAUUUACGAUGGAUCGAAUCAUCAAAUGCAAGUAGCUGUUUUGUGAUUGAACUAAGUACUGUACUGAUGGACUGAUGUGUGUUGCUGUUCUGUGAUGACUGAUGAAUGAUGAUUGAUGAACUAUGUACUGAUGAUGGAGUGAUAGCUCAUAGCAGAUUAGCAGUAUAGCACUGAAUAAUAGUGUAUAUUGUAUACCUUGUACCAUGGUUUUUUGCUGUAAUUUUUUUAGAAUAUUUGUUAUGCAAAUUAUAUGAAGUUAUAGAGGAAUAUAUUUUGUU
Oryza sativa Japonica Group (Japanese rice) is the source of this 1787-nucleotide long non-coding RNA. RefSeq lists it as uncharacterized. The record is from RefSeq and is a predicted model, not a curated record. Lineage: Eukaryota; Viridiplantae; Streptophyta; Magnoliopsida; Poales; Poaceae.